GUGGGGAAUAUUGGACAAUGGGCGAAAGCCUGAUCCAGCCAUGCCGAGUGUGUGAAGAAGGUCUUCGGAUUGUAAAGCACUUUAAGUUGGGAGGAAGGGCAGUAAGUUAAUACCUUGCUGUUUUGACGUUACCAACAGAAUAAGCACCGGCUAACUUCGUGCCAGCAGCCGCGGUAAUACGAAGGGUGCAAGCGUUAAUCGGAAUUACUGGGCGUAAAGCGCGCGUAGGUGGUUCAGCAAGUUGAAGGUGAAAUCCACGGGCUCAACCUGGGAACUGCCUCCAAAACUGCAUGACUAGAGUACGGUAGAGGGUAGUGGAAUUUCCUGUGUAGCGGUGAAAUGCGUAGAUAUAGGAAGGAACACCAGUGGCGAAGGCGACUACCUGGACUGAUACUGACACUGAGGUGCGAGAGCGUGGGGAGCAAACAGGAUUAGAAACCCUAGUAGUCC
This 450-nucleotide ribosomal RNA is filed under the name uncultured bacterium. Its description in RNAcentral is "partial 16S ribosomal RNA". It matches the Rfam family "Bacterial small subunit ribosomal RNA", at positions 354 to 796 of the family's 1533-position model. The record is from RNAcentral.